Molecule: ribosomal RNA, 460 nt
Filed under: uncultured bacterium
Lineage: Bacteria
Description: partial 16S ribosomal RNA
Rfam family: Bacterial small subunit ribosomal RNA
Source: RNAcentral
CCUACGGGUGGCAGCAGUGAGGAAUAUUGGUCAAUGGACGCAAGUCUGAACCAGCCAGGCCGCGUGCAGGAAGACGGCCCUAUGAGUUGUAAACUGCUUUUGUACGAGGGUAAAUCCCGAUACGUGUAUCGUGUUGAAAGUAUCGUACGAAUAAGGAUCGGCUAACUCCGUGCCAGCAGCCGCGGUAAUACGGAGGAUUCAAGCGUUAGCCGGAUUUAUUGGGUUUAAAGGGUGCGUAGGCGGUUCGAUAAGUUAGAUGUGAAAGUCCGGGGCUCAACGCCGGCACUGCCGCUGAUACUGGCGGGCUUGAGUAUAGUUGCGGUAGGCGGAAUGUAUGGUGUAGCGGUGAAAUGCAUAGAGAUCAUACAGAACACCGAUUGCGAAGGCAGCUUACCAAACUACGACUGACAUUGAGGCACGAAAGCGUGGGGAGCAAACAGGAUUAGAUACCCGAGUAGUC